RNAcentral lists this long non-coding RNA (526 nucleotides) under Homo sapiens (human). RNAcentral's name for it is "non-protein coding lnc-ANKRD52-3:1". Lineage: Eukaryota; Metazoa; Chordata; Mammalia; Primates; Hominidae. The record is from RNAcentral.
UCAGCUCAGUGCAGCUGUUACAGCCCUCAACAGUGAAAGUAACUUUGCCCGAGCAUAUGCACAGGGUAUCAGCCGAACCAAGUACUGGGAGUUGAUUUAUGAAGACUCUAUGGAUCUAAUCGCAAAGCUACCUUGUGUUGCAGCAAAGAUCUACCGAAAUCUCUACAGAGAAGGCAGCGGUAUUGGGGCCAUUGACUCUAACCUGGACUGGUCUCACAAUUUCACCAACAUGUUAGGCUAUACUGAUCAUCAGUUCACUGAGCUCACGCGCCUGUACCUCACCAUCCACAGGUAAGCUAGACCCAGCAACCACAGCCACUAGGUGCCUCAAUUGGUGGGAAAUUUUUUUAAAAGCUCCUUUAUGUUCUCAUCUUCUGAGAACAGAUGAUAGGCAGCAAGAAGACAGAAACGUGGCAUAAAGGAUGAUCCAAGGCAAGAAAGGGGUCUAGUAAGCAAGGUCAGGAGGCCUAAAGAAAUUACUGUAACCAUGCUAAGAACAAGAUGGUGCUUCUGGCUGGGAAAAGGU